This 236-nucleotide unclassified non-coding RNA is filed under the name Hevea brasiliensis (rubber tree). Lineage: Eukaryota; Viridiplantae; Streptophyta; Magnoliopsida; Malpighiales; Euphorbiaceae. The record is from RNAcentral.
AUAAUAAUAAUAAUAGUAGUAGUAGUGGUAGUAAAAAACCAACUGCUGCCAGCCAACAUCAGUCUUUACUUGCUCCAACCAAUCAUUGUUGGCUGACUUAACUUUGCUUUGUGCAAUUUUGUUUUCAAUUUACGUUGACUAAAACCUGGUGAUGAAGUCCUUACAGAUCUCAACAUUCUCAUGGUCUUCUUUGAUGAAGGAAGAAUAAGUUUUUUCAGUGUACUCCAAAUGUCAAU